RNAcentral lists this long non-coding RNA (2370 nucleotides) under Marmota monax (woodchuck). Lineage: Eukaryota; Metazoa; Chordata; Mammalia; Rodentia; Sciuridae. The record is from RNAcentral.
CUAAGACAAGUAUUAGAUACAGACAUUCAAGAUAGAAAAAGGUACAAGAGAGAAGUUUACAGUCAAAUAUUGGAUAAAAUAGAAGAACAAGGAGAUUAUUAGUAAUUUUUUUUCAAAAAGCACAUCAACUUUAAUUUCUGGUGGUGCAGAUAUUAGAAGACUCAGAAGAGGGUGUUAAAAUUUAUAGACAAGAGCCAAUUUAGAAAACAUUAAACUAGAAGGAAAUUGGUUUAAAACCACAUCAAAAAAUUAAAAGGACUAAAGUAAUUCUAAAAACUAAGGCAGAAUGCUUUUGAAAGAUUUAAAUUUAAAAGGAUCUUUAAGGGGUAUAUAUCCCCCAAAGAUAAACUUAAAAUAAUGCUUUUUACUCUAAACUUUUUAAAUUUGGAUUCAUCAGGACUUAGUGCUGCUGAAAGACAUAUGUAUCCAAAAAAUGUACAUUAGCCUAAGGUACUUUGGAAAGAUAUUCUAACAGUACAAUGGAAAGUUCCUGACCCAGUGAUUGUCUGGAGUCAGGGUUCUGUUUGUGUUUUUCCACAGGGAGAACAGCAGCCGAUUUGGAUUCCAGAGAGAUUAACCAAAGCAAUUUCUACAGACCAAAAAGAAGAUGAUUUGACUCAAAUCCAUAACAGCUGAUAUCCAGAGCUCCAACUUGGCUAUUCUUACAUCUGCGACAGUGAUUAACCAGGGUGCUUUUUUUCAAUAUCCAUUUUAUUAUUGCUUUUUCCCACAUCAUAAAGUUCUAUUUUAUUUUUUGAGCUCAUACAAACCUAGGUUAAUGUUUUUCUGAUCAGUUUUAUUUUUUGACUCUGGAAUUUUUAAACAUUGCAAUGGAGAUUUCACCUAGGUAAAGCUACAAGGCCUUUACUAUUGUCUUAUGUGUUGUACAUUUGUGUGCACAUUUGUGUUUUGUGUUGUAUGUCUGUGUGUGCGUAUGUCCAUAGAUCAUAUAUGAGGAGCACUCAUGAAAAAAUGGAUCCAAAUUAUUAUUUUUUUUAUUCACAUGAUUUAAAUGGUUUAAUUUAAAUUAGGUAAACAGCUGUUAAGGAUUGUUUUUAAAGGUGGUUAACAGAUCUGUUUGUUUACUAAUUUAAAUUAGGUAAAUAACUGUUAAGGAUUAUUUUUAAAGGAGUUUAACAGAUCUGUUUGUUUACUUUCACCUUUCCUUUUCAUCAUAUUUAAUAAUUCUGUUCAGGAUAAUGUCUCUUUAGCAUCAUUGCCAGAAUUCCUAUCUCCAUCCCAGUGCCGGUGAAGACAAAGAUAAAACCAGACUACAGCUUCUAUGAUAGCUAUCACAGUAAACUGUAUAAACUGAUGCAUCAAUGAAAAUAACUUAACAAGUAAUGCUCAAUCAAGGACUCAAUUUACUUUGGGAGGAAAUGGACAUAUUGAUAGACUCCUCCGGUUUGAACUGCUUGCAGAACUUGCCUGGACUAUGUAUCACUUGUAUACAUUGUGAACAAUCGUUUGGUGCAGCGAAUUGUGGUAGUGCUGGCAUAUCUUUGCUGAUGGUGUCACCAGUGAUGCAAUUUUUCCAAAGGAGCCGUCAAUUGGCUUGGUGUCAUGGCAUUUCUGUAUCCUCCUCCCUUCUGCUAAUGAUGGUCUAAAUUUGGGGGCCAACAGAGUUGAGGCAAAGAACCUCACACCCCCCACACUGGCACCAAGGCCAAAAUUGGGGGACAACAGAGGUGAGGCAAGAUCCUCACCCCCCCCACACACACUGGUGCAUAGGCCUAUCCACAAAUAUGGCUGCAUGCUGGACCAGUAAUCAGUGAUGGGUAUGAUCCAAUUGCAGUGGUAUCAACCUAAGACAGGAGGCUGAUGCCUAGAGGUCAGUUUUUCCCAUGAUGCGUAAGAACCAUAUGUUAAAUUGGACAACCUACCAGGCAUGGUCCUUAAGCCACAUUGCUUGUUGUUUAAUUUAUCAGAAGGGGGGAGAUGCUGAGGGCCAUUGCUAAGUAAGAAUGACGCAUGGCAUGACCCAGGUCAUAUGCAGUGACAUUGCAUGUAAGGUGACCUUGCUCAAGGACCAGGGCGGAUCCGGGUUUAGGGUGGAUUGGGGUUUAGGGCAUUCCUGGUUUAGAACAAUCCAGGUUUAGGGCAGUUCCAGGUUUAAGGUGUACCCUGCUGGGAAUAGGGCGUAUCCUGGUGCCUCAGGUGCACCUGCUCCUUCAGUUCCCUUUGAGUUCUCAAGGGAUUGAGAGAGUAUUUGGGAUUUUGCCCAGAAUGUGAAUUUUGCCGAGAACGUGUGUGUAAAGUGCCAGUGACAGUUUGAGAAUAAAGAAUUGCUGUUUGAAUCUACAAGGCUGUGAGUGGCUCGUGAUUUUGUGCCCAGCAAGACUGUGGCAGUAAUAGGUGUUUUUGGAGUUG